RNAcentral lists this ribosomal RNA (253 nucleotides) under uncultured bacterium. Its description in RNAcentral is "partial 16S ribosomal RNA". It matches the Rfam family "Bacterial small subunit ribosomal RNA", at positions 524 to 776 of the family's 1533-position model. The record is from RNAcentral.
UACGGAGGGUGCAAGCGUUGUUCGGAAUCACUGGGCGUAAAGGGCGUGUAGGCGGGUCGUUAAGUCAGGGGUGAAAUCCUGGAGCUCAACUCCAGAACUGCCCUUGAUACUGGCGAUCUCGAGUUCGGGAGAGGUGAGUGGAACUGCGAGUGUAGAGGUGAAAUUCGUAGAUAUUCGCAAGAACACCAGUGGCGAAGGCGGCUCACUGGCCCGAUACUGACGCUGAGGUGCAAAAGCGUGGGGAGCAAACAGG